This 332-nucleotide ribosomal RNA is filed under the name uncultured bacterium. RNAcentral describes it as "bacterial SSU rRNA". It matches the Rfam family "Bacterial small subunit ribosomal RNA", at positions 568 to 898 of the family's 1533-position model. The record is from RNAcentral.
CGCGUAGGCGGCUUUGCAAGUCAGAUGUGAAAGCCCCGGGCUUAACUCGGGAAUUGCAUCUGAAACUGCUUUGCUUGAGUCCUGGAGGGGAUAGUGGAAUUCCCAGUGUAGCGGUGAAAUGCGUAGAUAUUGGGAGGAACACCUGCGGCGAAGGCGGCUAUCUGGACAGUGACUGACGCUGAGGCGCGAAAGCUAGGGGAGCGAACGGGAUUAGAUACCCCGGUAGUCCUAGCUGUAAACGAUGGGCACUUGGUGUUGGGGGUAUUGAGUCCCUCGGUGCCGGAGUUAACACGUUAAGUGCCCCGCCUGGGGAGUACGGUCGCAAGACUGAA